RNAcentral lists this ribosomal RNA (250 nucleotides) under uncultured bacterium. Its description in RNAcentral is "partial 16S ribosomal RNA". It matches the Rfam family "Bacterial small subunit ribosomal RNA", at positions 524 to 770 of the family's 1533-position model. The record is from RNAcentral.
AACGUAGGACACAAGCGUUAUCCGGAGUUACUGGGCGUAAAGCGCGCGUAGGCGGCUCGGAAAGUCGGUCGUGAAAUGCCGGGGCUCAACCCCGGGACUGCGUCCGAUACUUCCGGGCUGGAGGUAGGUAGGGGAGAUCGGAAUUCCUGGUGUAGGCGGUGGAAUGCGCAGAGUAUCAAGGAGGAACACCGGUGGCGAAGGCGGGUCUCUGGGCAGUAACUGACGCUGAGGAGCGAAAGCGUGGGGAGCG